UCCCUGGUGGCUCAGACAGUAGAGAAUCUGCCUGCAAUGCAGAAGUCCUGGGUUCAUUUCCCAGGUUGGAAA
This 72-nucleotide transfer RNA is filed under the name Bos taurus (domestic cattle). It matches the Rfam family "tRNA". Rfam says of the family: Transfer RNA (tRNA) molecules are approximately 80 nucleotides in length. Their secondary structure includes four short double-helical elements and three loops (D, anti-codon, and T loops). Further hydrogen bonds mediate the characteristic L-shaped molecular structure. tRNAs have two regions of fundamental functional importance: the anti-codon, which is responsible for specific mRNA codon recognition, and the 3' end, to which the tRNAs corresponding amino acid is attached (by aminoacyl-tRNA synthetases). tRNAs cope with the degeneracy of the genetic code in two manners: having more than one tRNA (with a specific anti-codon) for a particular amino acid; and 'wobble' base-pairing, i.e. permitting non-standard base-pairing at the 3rd anti-codon position. The record is from Rfam by way of RNAcentral. RNAcentral also lists the same sequence under 5 other names. Lineage: Eukaryota; Metazoa; Chordata; Mammalia; Artiodactyla; Bovidae.